CCCUUAAAGGCCGAGCGUGCCGCCCGCGGCUUCAAAGAGGUAGCGUUCUAAAAUGCUUAAUAACUUUGUAACCGCUAAUCCUAUCCAUCUGAUUUAAAAAGUGAGGUAAAGCGGCUAUUCUAGGCUUUUUGCUGGUAUCACUAUGUCCUUUUCCGGGAUUCAGAGGCUCCGACGUGAUCGGGGCAACGUUAUCACAUUUUACAGCCUUGAUUCGUCAAGGAGACCCACGCGGCCCCUCUGUCUGAGCCAAACAGCAAAGGUUUUAGACUAAGUCCCACCCCCCUGUGUCCGGAUAGGUUUAAAAGGGUAAAGGUCCAGGCAAACCUCUGCCCAUGCUACCAUCUUCUCGACCAAUCAACAUAGGUUGCUGUGUAUGUUUUUGGCGGCGGGAGAUAAACAAAGAGAAACAGAGAGACGAGAGAGUAAUACUAAAGAAGAGUAAUUCUGCCAGCGUAAGAGAAAUAAAUACAACACGAGAUAUCUAGAUACAGUCACACACACACACAAAUACACAUACAUACACACACACACAUAUCCCAAGACAAAUUCAAACCAACAUGUCAAAACGGCGUUACACUACGGAAGAAGCCGUAGAAUUUAUGUUGUCUGGCGGACCGCUUAGCGAUGCAGCGGUGGAUUCCUCAGAUUCUGAAGCUGACAACUGGCAAGGAAGAGGAGUAUGAUCACGGGAUUGAUCCCUUCGAAGAUAAAAAAUACAGAGGAUGAGAGAGGGGAUGCACAAGCCCCUGUCCCCAUCAGUAGGCCUCCUUCAAACCGAGAGGGAAAAGAAUGCGGCCAGGAGGGUGCAGCAUCCAGAAAAAAGGCCAAACCAAUGCCAGCCCCCCUGACAGUGAAAGGGAGAGGGAGAGGAAAAGGGAAAAAAACAUCUCUGACCCCAGAAGAGCCAGGUUUGGAACGGACCUGAGGUGCCAGAUACUGCCCAACAACUACCACACUUUUGCCCGAAAAGAGCCCCUGGAGUCCAAGGUUUUGUUGGUGUGGAGUAUACUCCUGCACAAAUAUUUAGAAAUUGUUUUAACAACCAAGCUGUAAAUAUCAUCUGCAAGAACACAAACAAAAAUGCUGAAAAGGAGCAGGCUAAGGGGGAAAAGUUUGUUU
Gymnodraco acuticeps is the source of this 1119-nucleotide long non-coding RNA. RefSeq lists it as uncharacterized. The transcript is spliced from 2 exons. The record is from RefSeq and is a predicted model, not a curated record. NCBI's taxonomy places the organism in Eukaryota, Metazoa, Chordata, Actinopteri, Perciformes, Bathydraconidae.